GAACAUACAAUAACAUAUUCUAUGAUGAAAGUUAUCCUGCAUUAUUUAUUAUUUAGAUCUAACCUCAUUCCUCAAAUGAUCAAAACAUCGAAAUUCUAAAUAUUAAGUUGCUCAUUGCUCAAAAUCAUCUCUUUUUUACCUUUGGUUAUAAUGUUUUAUGUGGGCAAGAAAGAAAUUCAUUAAAGUAUUAUGAAUUUUAUUGCAAAAAUAUAAAAAACUGAAAAUGUGGAAUAGAAUUUAGAAACAACAGUUUUCCUAAUCGUUUUCCAAGAAGCCUGUUUCUAUUUUGAACUAAAGUGGCACCAGCUUUUGAAAAAAGCCUUUCAGAUGGAACCGAGGUUGCCACCAAACACAUGUAUUUGAUUCCAACCUUAUACAGCUUAGGAAAUACAUUUUUAGUAUCC
Long non-coding RNA from Harmonia axyridis, 404 nucleotides. RefSeq lists it as uncharacterized. The transcript has 2 exons. The record is from RefSeq and is a predicted model, not a curated record. NCBI's taxonomy places the organism in Eukaryota, Metazoa, Arthropoda, Insecta, Coleoptera, Coccinellidae.